This 1057-nucleotide long non-coding RNA is filed under the name Salmo trutta (river trout). Its description in RNAcentral is "lncRNA (ENSSTUG00000015209.1)". The record is from RNAcentral. Lineage: Eukaryota; Metazoa; Chordata; Actinopteri; Salmoniformes; Salmonidae.
AGAAAAAGGUCAAACGCUUCGUUAAAGCCAAGCCCACUCAAAAUCGGAAAAGUCAAUCUGCUUCCAUCUUGAACAGACAUGGCACAUCACAUCGUGGCGAACGACCACUCCACUUUGUGGGGAAUAUGUCCACUAACCACGAAUCUAAACGGCCAUACCUGGAAACAGUCCUGGAGGACUGCUUAGCUUGUCAUGCGCUAAUUGAUUCGGGUGCGACAAUAUCACUCAUCUCUCAAACAUUGUUUGAUGAUCUCAAAAGGGCUUUGAAGCCAACUAAACGUUGGUUAAAAGUGGAACGAUGCGACACUACACUUCGAGGGGUCACUCAGACUACCUCGCCUCUCACAUUGAGAGUCAUGCUGAAACUACACUUCCAGGACGUAUCGCUCGUUCACCCUGUGUAUGUUACCAGCCUCGAAACUGUAACCCUGCUACUUGGAGCAGACUUGAUGGAUCGGUUACUCCCAUUGAUGGAUUGGAAAACCAACCAGGUAUGGUCACAGGCCACAGUGCCUUCUCCACUGACCACACUGUCUUCCCCUAACGCUAGCUGCAAUGCAGUCAUUCACGAGGGGUAUCUGUCAAAAGCACCCCUUGGGAAAAAGACGUUUAGAAACCUCUUGGUGCAGAAGCCGAUCCAAGGAGAUAUUACGAUAUCUCGACACAUUCCAUCAGCCAAUCUGAUUGACCAUUCUUUUCAUGAUUUCGAGCCAGCUGUCUCUGUGAAUGAGCAACUUCCCUCCUUCUUGCAGUCGUGCAAUACGGUAGUUGAGAUGAACUUCUCUGGCCCUUCGGACACUUCCGCAAGCACUGCGGCCGUCUCAGCAAGAAAAACAUUGAUGUGCAGAGUACACUCUGCUUCCGAUGAUACACCUUCUGCUUUGUUGGGGACUGUCACCCCUUACAAUGACACUAAUGGCGUCAGUCCAGCAACUGACCCGAUGACUCCCACUGGUGAAACACUUUGCGAUAUCACAGACCGAUAUCCUCGUCUCAGUUUGCAGGUACUGAAGAGGUUGCCACACGCGGACGCGGUGGUGACUGACAGACCUCGACA